This 465-nucleotide ribosomal RNA is filed under the name uncultured bacterium. RNAcentral describes it as "partial 16S ribosomal RNA". It matches the Rfam family "Bacterial small subunit ribosomal RNA", at positions 338 to 795 of the family's 1533-position model. The record is from RNAcentral.
CCUACGGGGGGCUGCAGUAGGGAAUCUUCCACAAUGGGCGAAAGCCUGAUGGAGCAACGCCGCGUGGGUGAAGAAGGUCUUCGGAUCGUAAAACCCUGUUGUUAGAGAAGAAAGUGCGUGCGAGUAACUGUUCACGUUUCGACGGUAUCUAACCAGAAAGCCCCGGCUAACUACGUGCCAGCAGCCGCGGUAAUACGUAGGUGGCAAGCGUUAUCCGGAUUUAUUGGGCGUAAAGGGAACGAAGGCGGUCUUUUAAGUCUGAUGUGAAAGCCUUCGGCUUAACCGGAGUAGUGCAUUGGAAACUGGGAGACUGGAGUGCAGAAGAGGAGAGUGGAACUCCAUGUGUAGCGGUGAAAUGCGUAGAUAUAUGGAAGAACACCAGUGGCGAAGGCGGCUCACUGGACUGUAACUGACGCUGAGGUUCGAAAGCGUGGGUAGCAAACAGGAUUAGAUACCCCAGUAGUC